UCCCUGGUGGUCCAGUGGUUAAGAAUCUGCCUUGCAAUGCAGGGAACUCAGGUUUGACCCCUGGUCAGGGAA
RNAcentral lists this transfer RNA (72 nucleotides) under Ovis aries (sheep). It matches the Rfam family "tRNA". From Rfam's summary of the family: Transfer RNA (tRNA) molecules are approximately 80 nucleotides in length. Their secondary structure includes four short double-helical elements and three loops (D, anti-codon, and T loops). Further hydrogen bonds mediate the characteristic L-shaped molecular structure. tRNAs have two regions of fundamental functional importance: the anti-codon, which is responsible for specific mRNA codon recognition, and the 3' end, to which the tRNAs corresponding amino acid is attached (by aminoacyl-tRNA synthetases). tRNAs cope with the degeneracy of the genetic code in two manners: having more than one tRNA (with a specific anti-codon) for a particular amino acid; and 'wobble' base-pairing, i.e. permitting non-standard base-pairing at the 3rd anti-codon position. The record is from Rfam by way of RNAcentral. Lineage: Eukaryota; Metazoa; Chordata; Mammalia; Artiodactyla; Bovidae.